UGUCCUGGACCCGAAGCGGGAUGAUCUAGCCCUGGGCAGGUUGAAGCGCGGGUAAGACCGCGUGGAGGACCGAACCCACCUGGGUUGAAAACCGGGGGGAUGACCUGGGGCUAGGGGUGAAAGGCCAAUCAAAUUCCGUGAUAGCUGGUUCUCUCCGAAAUGCAUUUAGGUGCAGCGUCGGUCGAUUGCGUCGCGGGGGUAGAGCUACCGGAUGCUUGCGGGCCCUUGUUGGGUACCAACAGCAGCCGAACUCCGAAUACCGUUGACGUGUAUUCCGGCAGUGAGUCGGCGGGGGAUAAGCUCCGUCGUCGAGAGGGAGACAGCCCAGACCGUCGUCUAAGGUCCCGAAGCGUGUGCUAAGUGGGAAAGGAUGUGGAGUCGCAUAGACAGCCAGGAGGUUGGCUCAGAAGCAGCCAUCCUUGAAAGAGUGCGUAACAGCUCACUGGUCUAGUGGUUCCGCGCCGACAAUGUAGCGGGGCUCAAGCACACCACCGAAGACGCGGCAGCGCAUCUGAUGCGCUGGGUAGGAGAGCGUCCUGCGAGGGGCGAAGCGGCGGUGGAAACCGGCCGUGGACUUCGUGGGAGUGAGAAUGCAGACAUGAGUAGCGAGAGACGGGUGAGGAUCCCGUCCGCUGGAUGACCAAGGGUUCCGGGGCCACGUUCGUCGUCCCCGGGUGAGUCGGGUCCUAAGGCGAGGCCGACAGGCGUAGUCGAAUGGAUGAACGGGUGGAUAUUCCCGUACCGACCAUGGACCGGCAAAACCGAGACGGUGAGUACUAACCUCCGCCUCGUGGUGGUUCCUUCCUUCGGGUUGGUUCCGUCGCGUGGUGUUGGGAGCGUAGCCGCAGUAGGUCAGCGCAGGGGUGACACGGAAUGGGAGCCGGCCGCGGAGGUGGUUUUCCGUGGUCAAGCACGCAGCCAGUCAUGUAGGCAAAUCCGCAUGGCAUGCAUGGCGAGGUGUGAUGAUGGGAACCGUUAUGGUUCGAUAUCCGGUUGUCCAGGCCGUCGAGAAAAGCCUCGGCGUGAGGGCCAUGGCCGCCCGUACCCCAAACCGACACUGGUGGUCAGGUAGAGAAUACCAAGGCGAUCGAGCGAAUCCUGGUCAAGGAACUCGGCAAAUCACUCCCGUGCCUUCGGUAUAAGGGAGACCCACUGGGGUGAAGGACCUUGCGUCCGGAGCUUUGGUGGGUGGCACAGACCAGGGGGUAGCGACUGUUUACCAAAAACACAGGUGCAUGCGAAGGCGAAAGCCGCUGUAUAUGCACUGACGCCUGCCCGGUGCCGGAAGGUUAAGAGGAUCCGUCAAUCCCUUCGGGGACGAAGCGGUGAAUUCAAGCCCCGGUAAACGGCGGUGGUAACUAUAACCAUCCUAAGGUAGCGAAAUUCCUUGUCGGGUAAGUUCCGACCUGCACGAAUGGCGUAACGACUUCCCCACUGUCUCGACCAGGAGCUCGGCGAAAUUGCAGUACGAGUAAAGAUGCUCGUUAAGCGCAGAAGGACGAAAAGACCCCGGGACCUUUACUAUACCUUGGUAUUGGCGUUAGGCGCGGAUUGUGUAGCAUAGGCGGGAGGCUUUGAAACGGUGGCGCCAGCCAUCGCGGAGCCGCAAGGUGAAAUACCGCUCUGUUCUCGUUUGACGUCUAACCUCGACAAGUCAUCCUUGUCAGGGACAGUGCCUGGCGGGUAGUUCAACUGGGGCGGUUGCCUCCCAAAGAGUAACGGAGGCGCUCAAAGGUCCGCUCAGCCCGGUUGGCAAUCGGGUGUCGAGUGUAAUCGCACAAGCGGGCUUGACUGCGAGGACGACGGUCCGAGCAGGGACGAAAGUCGGAGAUAGUGAUCCGGUGCCGGCGCACGGGCGCGGCAUCGCUCAACGGAUAAAAGGUACCCCGGGGAUAACAGGCUGAUCAUUCCCAAGAGUCCAUAUCGACGGGAUGGUUUGGCACCUCGAUGUCGGCUCGUCGCAUCCUGGGGCUGGAGCAGGUCCCAAGGGUUCGGCUGUUCGCCGAUUAAAGCGGCACGCGAGCUGGGUUCAGAACGUCGUGAGACAGUUUGGUCUCUAUCCUCUGCGCUCGUUGGAAUCCUGAGGAGGCCUGCCCAUAGUACGAGAGGACCUGGGUGGACGAACCUCUGGUAUGCCGGUUGUCGCGCCAGCGGCACGGCCGGUUGGCUACGUUCGGGAGGGAUAACCGCUGAAAGCAUCUAAGCGGGAAGCCUGCUCCAAGAUUAGGAUUCCGUACAGUCUUGAACUGUUGU
RNAcentral lists this ribosomal RNA (2253 nucleotides) under human gut metagenome. Its description in RNAcentral is "bacterial LSU rRNA". It matches the Rfam family "Bacterial large subunit ribosomal RNA", at positions 705 to 2830 of the family's 2925-position model. The record is from RNAcentral.